GAGGGACGCCUGCAACAAGUGCAAGGAGGACAAGGAAAGCGCCCAGGAUCCGAGUCUCAGGAUUGGAGACGCAAAGGGCGAGGAUUCAGAAUGAUCCUUAGAAUUUCUUUAUUCUUGGAAACAUAAUGACGGACAUAAAUCCAGACAGUCUUAAGGUUGUGGAGCUACGAGACGCAUUGUCAGAGAGAGGAUUAGACACAAAAGGAAACAAACCUGCUCUUGUCUCCAGACUUAAGGAAUACCUGUCCAGAGAUAAUCCUGGAGCUCAAGAACCAUCAGAGUAUGAUCCAACCAACCCAACCGAAGAUACGGAGCCAGCAACGGAGUUCGGGGACAAGAACUUUGUAAAUGUAACUCCGCGGGGGAUAAAGUUUAGUUUGUCAGCUCCUAAACCUACCAAACCGGUUCCUGCUUCACCUAGACCACCAUCUCCAGGUCCCCAGCUAGAUAGUGUAGGAGAAGGAGCAGGAGGAGGCGGAAUAAGACGAUCAGGAGCUGCUGCGUUCUUUCUAACAGAGGUUGAAAGAAUCAAGAAUAAAGAGGCCAAGGUACCCCUACCUCCAAGUUUUGGCUACCAGAUCGAGGACGAUGAUGAGGAUGAAGAAGAGGGACCUCCGGGGAUGGUUCCUCUUAAACUUCCAGCUCUCAAGUUCGAUAAACCCUUCACUAAGGACCUUGGACCAAAAGAUGUUGAAUAUUGGAAGAAGAUUGAAAUGCCGGAUUUGUACACUCAACGCAGAUCCACCGAGUUCUGGAAGGAAGGAGUUUUCCUCCAAGAUCCUGCACUUUUUCUACAAGAAGAAGCUGAUCGUUCUAGUAGUCAGCUCAUUGUAGAGUUAGAGCAUACUGAAGUACCAGGUUUGUCUUUGGACAGUAUUAAGAUGAAAGUAACCUACAACUAUUUAACGGCUAGAGGACUAGCUAAAUCUAGACUUGAAGCAAUGGAUCAAUGCGCUCUCAAGAUUCUUAAGGAGUCAGGCCCUUGGUUGGAUUCUGGAUUGAUUGAUAAAACAAAUGAAAAUAUUGCCAGCCUCCUCCCUGCCUCACUAUCCUCCUGGUGUCCUCCUAAAUAUAACCUCAAGCAUGUCAGAUUAGAGCAAAAAGAUGGAUUAAAGCAUGGUAAACGGCUGUAUGAGUUGACCGUCAAGCUGGGAGGAUUCAGUUGCUCAGCUAUAGGGGAUACUGUAGAGGAUAGUUUACAUUAUACCACACUUCAUCUUAAAUCAUUUAUCAGAAAUCGUGAGUUGACCCGCCUAGCUGCUCCUGAAACCAGUGGUCGGCUGACGUACGCGUCAGGUUUAGGUAUAGUUAAGGUAGUGCUGGAGAAGGGGAAGGAGCAAGUGCUGGCCCCCCUGGACCUGUUUAUCCUGCAGAAGGUGUUGAAGGGAGGCGGGUUUCCUCCGAUGUACUCCUCCAAAGAUGUGUGGGGGUGUGAGAAGGUGUUCUAUUGUGAUGUUUGCGGGCACAGGAUACUUGGAGCAGACUCCCUUAUUCAACAUGUUCAGGGAGAGCGGCAUAACAGUCGACUAGGGAAGUUUUUGUGGAACGGAACUGUGAUAGAGACCUUCAGAUCUAACGCUGACCCCGAGUAUGGCCGGGAUUUUGACUUAAAACCUGAAACUGAAGAGGAGAAGGAGAGGUUCGUGCUGCGUCUCUGCUCGUCAUGUGAGGAGGAAGGGAAGGUCCAACAAGCUCUAGCUAAAUGCAAGGACUGUAAUGACUAUAUGUGUGGGACCUGCAAGGAAGCGCACAGUAAAACGAGAUUAACAAAGAACCAUGAGAUAAUUGAUGUUAAGCCACCAGUCUUUAAUCAUCCACUUCAGGAUGAGGAUAAUGGGAGGAAGAUUAAAGACUCUGAAAAAUAUCUGAUCAGUGUUUACAGAUGUCCGACCAAAAUUCCGGAACACAACCAACAGGAGGACGAGUAUCAAGGUGACGAGUUUGAGGGUGAGGAGUAUACAGACGAAUCUGCCCUUGGCGCGGACUGUUUUGGAGAAGGGUUUCCCGGAUUUGAAGGUAUGGACGGAGGACCUCCAUAUGGGAUGCGGGGACCUGGAGGCCCGGGGGGAUUCAGGCCUCGCGGAGGCUUUAUGGGAGAUAGAGGAGGUUACGGAGGUGACAGAGGAGGAUUCGGAGGUCCACCAAGAGGAGGCUUCGGAGGACGAUUUCAGGGCCCUCCAGGUGGAGGACAAAGAGGAGGGUUUGGAGGUGAUCGUGGAGGAUUUGGGCCUCCUAGAGGGGGCUUUGGUGGACCACGUGGUGGUUUCGGAGGACCAAGAUUUGGAGGCCCUGGUCCGAUGGGAUUCAAUGGACCUCCAGGAGAAGAAGAAGGAUAUGAAGAUGGUCCUCCUGGAGAGUGUGACGGAGGUCCACCUGGGGAAGGUUAUGGAGGCAGAGGAGGUUUUGGAGGCCGUGGAGGGUAUGGAGGAAGAGGCGGUAUGGGAGGACCAAUGGGACCUGGCGGACCAAUGGGACCGGGAGGGCCUGGUGGACCAAUGAGACCGGGUGGACCUAUGGGACACGGAGGGCCUGGCGGACCAAUGGGACACGGAGGUCCAGGUGGACCUAUGGGACCUGGAGGUCCUGGCGGACCAAUGGGACCAGGAGGGCCUGGUGGACAAAUGAGACCAGGAGGUCCUGGUGGACCAAUGGGACACGGAGGUCCUGGCGGGCCAAUGGGACAGGGUGGACCUAUGGGACAAGGGGGGCCUGGUGGUCCUAUGGGACAAAAUGGACAAGGAGGACCCGGAGGUAAUAUGGGACAAGGAGGUCCUGGUGGUCAAAUGGGACCAAGAGGGCCAAUGGGACAAGGAGGUCCGGGUGGUCAAAUGGGACCACGAGGGCCAAUGGGGCAAGGAGGUCCUGGUGGACAGAUGGGACCGGGGGGGCAAAUGGGACAAGGAGGGCCUGAGGGUCCAAUGGGACCCAGAGGGCCGAUGGGGCCAGGACAGAUGGGACCAAGAGGUCCAAUGGGAAUGGGUCCAGGUGGCCCAAUGGGUAUGGGACCUCGCGGCCCAAUGGGCCCACCCAGGUUUGGUGGUCCAAUGCCAAGGUUCCCUGGACCAAUAGGACCCAGUGGAGCUCCCUCCAACAUGGUUUGUAUUUCUCAGGGUACAUCAGGUAAACAGUGUGCUCACUUCUCCUCGGGGAACUGUACCUACGGUCCUAAAUGUAUCCACAUGCACAUGGUUCCUGCCGGGCCUAGACCUCAACCUACUGGUCCUAAGAACGUGAAGGAAGGGGAUUCUGACGAGGAGGAUGAAGGAGAAGGAGGAGGGGAGGAGGAAGAUGAAGAUGAUCCUCUAGCCUCCAUCAACGCUAAGCGUGAUGCGGCCAAGAGGAAAGCUUAUGCCGAGGCUCUAGAGGCUGCGAAGAUAACGGCGAAGAACGCUGAUGAUCUUGAUCUCGGUGGUCUCCGGGGCCCAGAUAAAGGUGGAAUAAAGGGUUUAACCAACCUGCCUGUCAUAGAAGGAGGUCUGCUUCAUGCCUACAGUGUAGGGCAGAAGGGGAAGAAGAAGGAUAAGCCCCCAGAGGAGCAGAGGCCUGGAGAUUGGUUGUGUGAAUGCCAAAACUAUAAUUUCUCCUGGAGAAAGAACUGUAACGCCUGCACCAAAAAGAAGCCGUUGAACGAACUGGAGGAGGCGGCUAAACAGGCUGAGCUCAAGAGAAUUAAAGAGGAAAGAGCUAAACGGUUGAAACAACAAGAAAGAGAUGCAGACCUUAAAAAGAUUGCGGAGCGUGAAGAAAGAAAAAAGGGUGCAGGAGGUGAUAAAGAUCGCGGUAGUAGGGACAGAGAUCGCGGGAGUAGAGAUCGUGGGAGUAGAGAUCGUGAUCGUGGUAGUGAUCGGGGUUACAGGGGAAGAGGGGGUGGUGAAGAUGACAAUCCGAAUAUGGUUCCCAUCGGAGGUAGCAGGGGAAGGAAUGAUCGCUCUUCCAAGGAUGAUCAUUAUUCAAGAAGUGAUCGUCGGGAUGAUAGAUCCUCAAGAGAUGAUCGAAGACGUGACGAUCAUAAAUCAUCAAGGGAUGAUCGCAUAAAGGACGAUCAUAGUGAUGACGACGACGGGUCUCAGUAUAAAAGAUACUAUGAUGACGAUGAUGGAAAUGAUCGAAAGUCGUCCAAGAAAUCGCACCGUGAUCGUGAUGACGACGAUGAUGAUCGAGAUCGAAAGCAUAAAAAGUCACAUAAGUCUCGUCGAUCCAGAAGUGAUGACGAUGAUGACCGAAGAUCGACCAAAAAGAAGAAAAAAGAUCGGUCAAGGUCAAGAUCCCGCUCCAGGUCCAGGCGCCGUGACCGAUCCCGGUCAAAGAAGCGGGAUCGCUCUGAAGAUCGAUCAAGGCGCAGCGAUCGAUCCAGAGAUGAGACAGAAGUGAAGAAAGAAUACGGUGGAGGGAGAAAGGAUUUGGAGGAGGGCGAGGUCCCUGAAGGAAACUGGAAGGAUUGGUAUUCCAAGGGGGCCCCUACAGGAGGUCCGCCUCCUCCACCAAUGUGUCCACCACCCCAGCGCCCCCCUCCACCCCCAGGUGGUGGUUGGGGACAUGAUAACCGAUACUAAGUUGUCCAGCAGCGAGUGAUCAGUGAUUUGAAAAGUUAAAAAUGAGUUCUUGAGGAAAUAAUUGUUCUCCGUUACCUUCCAUCUACUUGGGAAGAACAAUUUUGAUUAAAUCUUGAUAAUUACAGUUUUAAUAAUUGUUAUUUUAUGUUGUUGUUACGAAACUAUCAUUAUAUCCUUUUCUUGAGUAGGACUCAAUCAUCCUUAAAAAAUUGUAAAUUUGAUAUUUCUCUUUAGAAAAUUGUGGGCAUUUGAACGCCAUCUUCUGAAUUCAGAUGAGUUCAAUUAUUCUUCUUUUUUUUUCAGAA
RNAcentral lists this unclassified non-coding RNA (4858 nucleotides) under Eurytemora carolleeae. RNAcentral's name for it is "uncharacterized LOC111716014". Lineage: Eukaryota; Metazoa; Arthropoda; Copepoda; Calanoida; Temoridae. The record is from RNAcentral.